RNAcentral lists this long non-coding RNA (1225 nucleotides) under Oncorhynchus mykiss (rainbow trout). RNAcentral's name for it is "lncRNA (ENSOMYG00000005071.2)". The record is from RNAcentral. Lineage: Eukaryota; Metazoa; Chordata; Actinopteri; Salmoniformes; Salmonidae.
GACUGGAGACCACAGCAGCGAUUCUGCUCUUGCCCUACCUCUUCAAUGAGGACCCGAGUGGCCUUUAUGUCCGUGACAAGAUUUCACCGCUCUUCACUCCUUUACUGCACAUCGGCGGAAAUCCAUUUCACCACGAGAGUGAAAUCCCGCUGGCCUUUGAUGGGGAGAACAUUCACACCCUCGAGGACGUCCCCAUGGGGCUCUGCUAGGGCUGUAUUUUUUAUUUUCCAUAAAAUUUCCCAAAAAUGUCAGAAAAACACUUAUGUUGUUAAGUUACUGUGUUCUGGGGAGAAGGGAAGUUGGGGUGAAGUUACCAGGGCCGGUUAUAAAGAUGGCAAACUUCCUAACAUAACUAAGUGGAUACAAUAUACACACUAAAGCUGAAAAAUCUGUAUUUAGCAUCAAGUCUACAAUAUUGUUAGUUUACCUAUGAUUAAUUUUUAAUGUAUGUUGUUUUUAUUGUACAUCAUUAUUUAUAUAUAUAUUUUUAAAUGUCAUGAAAAUAACUAUACAAAGUAAAUGUAUUAUUUAUUGCAGAACAUGUCUGCAGAAAUGUUGCAAUUUUGUAAUGUGUGUUGUUUGGUAAAUUGUUUUGUAAAUAUUAAUUCACAUUUGUGGUGCCACUAAAAAAACAAUGAAUUAUUUAAAUCAAUAUUGUCAAUAUUGUUAUUAAAAUAUUUUUUUUAUAAUGGAGGGAGGGUGGACAGGGAGUUUAAAAAAUGAACCCCAAAAGGUUGUUAGAGGAACCAACCAUAGAAAAGGUUCUUCAAAUAACUUUUAGGGGUUUCCCCCACAGUUUCAAUUUGAAGAACCCCUACAGGAUACUCCAGGAACCUUUACUUUUUAGAAUGUAUAUUGAUAAAAGUCACCUUGUCCGAGAGACAUUUACAUAGUUAUACACAGCCUAUUUUGGGGCGAAAUAGCGGCCACAACAGACAGACCUGAUAUCGCCCAUAAUUCGACGUCACGCGCUGAGUGGAAAUUAACAAAGUUAUUCUAUUUAGCUACACUUUGCAGUACAUUUUUACACGAUAAUAAAUGUUUCUGAUGCCACAUCGCCCGUUUUCAAAGGGGGUCAUUGGUUUUUAGGGGCAGUCGCUUUUUAGCUUUUUGUCUGAAAGUAUUUUCUCAACUGCGAUACCAACUCCAGUCAGCAGAUGGCGAUGUGCGUCUUUCAGGUGAUUCUGACACUGAGACAUAUAAUCUAGUGGACGGGAUGCUUCUU